UCACACCACCCCAUCACCUGGAGCAGAACCCAAACUGGAUCCCUGAAUCAGAGGAGUCCUUUAGCACCACAAGUUAAAGAGAGCAGGCGCGUGUGUGUGUGUGUGUGUGUGUGUGUGUGUGUGUGUGUGACCCGGCUGUGAGAUGAGUGGUGGAAUCACUAGUGGAAGGGUGGGGGGGUGGUGGUCACACCCUCUCAAUCCCUCCGACGAGGUAGGGUAACACACACCUCUGAUGUUGAGACAGGCGAGUGUGUGUGUGUGUGUGUGUGUGUGUGUGUGUGUGGACCUAAAGAGGCCAUUGAUCAUGGCUUUAGUGAUGAUGCUGAAAUGGAUGUUAGUGAUUUGUUAUUUGAGAGAUCAUUCUGCUUUGCAAAGGUUAAAAACACUGGCACUCUUGUGCACUGUUGGAAAUGUUAGUACUUAUAUACACACAGACCUGUAAAAAAUGGGGCUAUUUGCAUAGACCUACAGACACACACACACACACACACACACACACACACACACACACAGAAUUCCAGCUGUUGAAAGCAUCAGCACCAGCAAUGCAGAACUGAAUGAGUGAGGUGGAUGAUGAACACACACCCACACACAGCCAUCUUUACACACACACACACACACACACACACACACACUAAGGCUAAGUGAAGGGGGAUGAGGCUGAAAUUAAAGCUGAUUUUUGCACAGCAGAGUAGAGGAGCAGCUGAUCAAGCCUCUUCCCCUCGUGGCAUCUUUGGAAUGGGGAUGCAUUGACCACACACACACACACACACACACACACACACACACACACACACACACACACACAAAGCGUGUGGAUUCUGGGCAUGUUGCGAUGACGCUGAACUGUACAGUAUUCCUUGUGAAAAACAGAAAGGAAAUAGAGAAAGAGGGAAUAUAAAUGGCUAACAGGGGACAGAGCAUUUGGCCCACGCCAACAGUCUGAGCUUCGUGCUGCUUGAAAUGUUCCUGAACGUGUGUGUGUGUGUGUGUGUGUGUGUGUGUGUGUGUAUUUGUGAAAACAGCAAGCAGAUAUGUGAGCAUAAAAAAAAAAGAAAAAAAGUCUGGUAGUGUGUGUGGUUCCAAAGCAUCUAGAACAUUGAGAAGUAGCCCGAGUGGUUAGUUUGAGAGCCAAUGGCAAGCAGUAUUGUAUGUCACAACCACAGUGCACUGCAUUGUGGGGAAAAAAAACAAAGGACCUUGGGAAACUGAGGCCUGUAGAAAUAACCUAUUCACAAGGAAGGGGGGGGUAUGAUGUCCUCUCCAACCUUCUGUGUGUGUGUGUGUGUGUGUGUGUGUGUGUGUGUGUGUUUGACUGGUUCAGUCUUGUGCUCCACUCAUCUGGUCCAUUGGUAAGGAUGCCUCUCCUGAAAAAAAAAAAAGUAAAAAAACGUUUGACUAUUAUACAACACUCACUCCAUCACACACUCUCAAAUGUGUGUCUGGCACUGUGUGGAGUGUGUUUGUGUGUGUGU
Molecule: long non-coding RNA, 1475 nt
Organism: Clupea harengus (Atlantic herring)
Lineage: Eukaryota; Metazoa; Chordata; Actinopteri; Clupeiformes; Clupeidae
Source: Ensembl